Long non-coding RNA from Oncorhynchus keta (chum salmon), 1253 nucleotides. RefSeq lists it as uncharacterized. The transcript has 6 exons. The record is from RefSeq and is a predicted model, not a curated record. Lineage: Eukaryota; Metazoa; Chordata; Actinopteri; Salmoniformes; Salmonidae.
CUUAUGUCGCACAGCGGCAGUCGAGACGAAGAAAUUCGAUUGUCAGUCCUCCUGAAAAGUUGCUUCUUCGAAACCCGGAGCUGACAAGGAUAUGUACAGGACCUGAUCAUCUACACCGGCCCCACCACAGAUAUAAGGCAUUUUGAGGGUCUCUGCAUAUCUGGAUCAGUGAUCUCCAUGCUGCAGCCUUACCUCAAAGGGUUACACUGUAUUUGUGGGCAACUGGUACAGUAGCACUACCCUUUUCCAGUACCUUUUUGAGGUAGAACACAGGGGCCAUUCACAAAUACGAGUGAAAUACUUGCACAGUGGAACCCUGAUCACCUGCCAACGUGAUCACUGUGUACCUUGUCAGAAUACUUUUGGGAACCACCUUCUUGCACAGACUGAGAAGGAUGUGGAGGUUUUUGACGAGUCCUGUUGUCAAUCAAUGUGAGACUGAACAUUGACAAGGUGCAGGAGAAACAGAAGGAGAGCUACCGGGGGAGAAUCAAGAAGGGGAAGUAAAGAAGGGCAAGUACUUCGACAUCUGGGCAAAUUACUUGGGUUUGGAAGAAGCACGAAAGGAAGGCAAGACUUGGGGGAACCUCGCUGCUUUUUCGCUCCUAGCUGGAGUCACCAUCCGUUAAGGGUUACCUCGGUGGAAGCUAACAACCUUCCCCAGUUGGACGGUCGACCACCGAAAGCCCUGAUGCCCUGCACUUCAGUGAAGCCCAUUAGACAAAGACCAUCGACUGUCCGAGCACCCCAGGAGGUAUCCCAUCCACCAGAGCCAGUGAGUUCAGAUCAGUCUGGUUCUCUGAGUCAGAAGGGUACCAGCCUGAUGUCCUCAAUUACCAACCACUCUCCAACUUUUCAUUACAUCUGCUACAGCUACUGUUGUUGUCAUUAUCUGCUAAGAAAUAUUUUGUGCUCUAUCAUGCUGGGCACAUAUGUGCGAUACACAGAUUAACUAACUAAAAACACUUGCACUGCAAACACUCCGAACAAAGAGAGCGCAGCAGUGACUGGACUUUGCAGUCUCCCUCUUCAAGUCCCCCUUCUGAGACUGGCUGCCUGUCGAGAACAAGUGACAGGCAGAACCUCUCACCCACACAGCAACCACCUCCUUUAUAAUCCACACACCAGAAUUCUGUAUUUUAGUUUUUGAUUGCCAUGAGUGUACAAAGAAUCUGUGAAAAAUAUUAGUGCCACAACUGUACCAAAGGAAUAUCAAUGUUUAUGUAUUAAAAUCUUUAAUAGGUUGGUUUUCA